RNAcentral lists this ribosomal RNA (301 nucleotides) under uncultured bacterium. RNAcentral describes it as "partial 16S ribosomal RNA". It matches the Rfam family "Bacterial small subunit ribosomal RNA", at positions 509 to 809 of the family's 1533-position model. The record is from RNAcentral.
CAGCCGCCACGGUAAUACGUAGGUGGCGAGCGUUGUCCGGAAUUAUUGGGCGUAAAGGGAGCGCAGGCGGGCGAGUAAGUCUUUCUUAAAAGUGCGGGGCUCAACCCCGUGAGGGGAGAGAAACUACUCAUCUUGAGUGCAGGAGAGGAAAGCGGAAUUCCUAGUGUAGCGGUGAAAUGCGUAGAUAUUAGGAAGAACACCAGUGGCGAAGGCGGCUUUCUGGACUGUAACUGACGCUGAGGCUCGAAAGCCAGGGGAGCGAACGGGAUUAGAUACCCCCGUAGUCCCUGUCUCUUAUACA